RNAcentral lists this unclassified non-coding RNA (249 nucleotides) under Hevea brasiliensis (rubber tree). The record is from RNAcentral. Lineage: Eukaryota; Viridiplantae; Streptophyta; Magnoliopsida; Malpighiales; Euphorbiaceae.
CGGCCUUGCAUUUCCAGUCUCGCCGUUUCGUGGAGUGCCUCGCCGUUUUGCAUCAGCUCAAGUUAAAGAAAGAAAACGAUCCCAAAGUGAUUCAUAAUAUUGCUAUUGCGGAAUACUUUCAUGAUGGUUGUUCAGAUACAAGGAAGUUGCUUGAAGUACUUAAUAACUUGAAGAAAAGCGAACAGCUUGCUUGGGCUUCUGGAGAACAGGUUGAUGCUGGGAGCGAUGCUGGAAAUAAAGUUAUUUCAG